GAACCACCUGAUCCCAUCCCGAACUCAGUAGUGAAACGAUGCAUCGCCGAUGGUAGUGUGGGGUUUCCCCAUGUGAGAGUAGGUCAUCGUCAAGC
RNAcentral lists this ribosomal RNA (95 nucleotides) under Pseudomonas sp. The record is from RNAcentral. RNAcentral also lists the same sequence under 1 other name. Lineage: Bacteria; Pseudomonadati; Pseudomonadota; Gammaproteobacteria; Pseudomonadales; Pseudomonadaceae.